RNAcentral lists this ribosomal RNA (604 nucleotides) under uncultured bacterium. RNAcentral's name for it is "bacterial SSU rRNA". The stretch from base 1 to 524 matches the Rfam family "Bacterial small subunit ribosomal RNA", at positions 338 to 873 of the family's 1533-position model. The record is from RNAcentral.
CCUACGGGAGGCAGCAGUGGGGAAUAUUGCACAAUGGGCGGAAGCCUGAUGCAGCGACGCCGCGUGAGGGACGAAGGCCUUCGGGUUGUAAACCUCUUUCAGCAGGGACGAAGCGUGAGUGACGGUACCUGCAGAAGAAGCACCGGCUAACUACGUGCCAGCAGCCGCGGUAAUACGUAGGGUGCGAGCGUUGUCCGGAAUUACUGGGCGUAAAGAGUUCGUAGGCGGUUUGUCGCGUCGUUUGUGAAAACCCGGGGCUCAACUUCGGGCUUGCAGGCGAUACGGGCAGACUUGAGUGUUUCAGGGGAGACUGGAAUUCCUGGUGUAGCGGUGAAAUGCGCAGAUAUCAGGAGGAACACCGGUGGCGAAGGCGGGUCUCUGGGAAACAACUGACGCUGAGGAACGAAAGCGUGGGUAGCAAACAGGAUUAGAUACCCUGGUAGUCCACGCCGUAAACGGUGGGCGCUAGGUGUGGGUUCCUUCCACGGGAUCUGUGCCGUAGCCAACGCAUUAAGCGCCCCGCCUGGGGAGGUACGGCCGCGAGACGUAACUACAAUAGAGUAGACGGCGNGAGACGNGCCGACGACGACGACGAGGGAGUAGG